UCCUACCAACCCACCUCUACCCCCCACCACCCAAAAUAACCCAAAUAACCCCAAAAUGCUCCAAAACGACCUCAAAAUGUCCCCAAUGUGUCCCUCAAAAUGUCCCCAACACGUCCCUCAAGACGUCCCCAACCCAAUACCUCCAGCACCCAACCCAACCCAAACCCCAACCCAACCCAACGCCUUGACCUGCUGUCCUACCAACCCAACCCCACACCCCACCCUUCCAAAAAAACCCCAAAAGCCCCAAAAUGUCCCCAAAUGACCUCAAAAUGUUCCCAACAUCUCUAUGGCUCCAAAAUGUCCCCAAAAUGUCCCCCCAAACAUCCCUCAAAUGUCCUCAACCCAAUACCUCCAGCACCCAACCCAACCCAAUGCCUUGACCUGCUGUCCUACCAACCCAACCCCACACCCCACCCUUCCAAAAAACCCCAAAAAGCCCCAAAAUGACCCCAAAAUACCCCCAACACCCCAAUGUCCCCAAAACGUCCCUCAAGACGUCCCCAACCCAAACCUAUCAACACCCAACCCAACCCACGACCCAACCCAACCCAACGCCUUGACCUGCCAUCCUACCAACCCAACCCCACACCCCACCCUUCCAGAAAACCCCAAAAAACCCCAAAAUGCCCCCAAAUAACCUCAAAAUGUUCCCAACAUCUCUAUGGCCCCAAAAUGUCCCCCAAAUGUCCCCCCAAAUAUCCCACAAAUGUCCUCAACCCAAUACCUCCAGCACUCAACCCAAUCCAAUGUGUUACCCUCCUGUCCUACCAACCCAACCCCACAACCCAUCCCCCCAAAAACCCCAAAAUGCCCCAAAAUGACCCCAAAAUACCCCCAACACCCCAAUGUCCCCAAAAUGNNNNNNNNNNNNNNNNNNNNNNNNNNNNNNNNNNNNNNNNNNNNNNNNNNNNNNNNNNNNNNNNNNNNNNCCUUGACCUGCUGUCCUACCAACCCAACCCCACACCCCACCCUUCCAAAAAACCCCAAAAAGACCCAAAAUACCCCCAAAUGACCUCAAAAUACCCACAACAACUCAAUGUCCCCAACACGUCCCUCAAAAUGUUCCCAACCCCAGACCACCAACACCCAACACAACCCAACCCCAAACCCAACCCAACCCAACGCCUUGACCUGCCGUCCUACCAACCCAACCCCACACCCCACCCUUCCAAAAAACCCCAAAAAGCCCUAAAAUGCCCCCAAAAUAUCUUCCACACCUCUAUGGCCCCAAAUUGUCCCAAGAUGUCCCUAAAAUGUCCUGAGAUGUCCCCAACCCCAUACCUCCAACACCCAACCCAACCCAUGACCCGACCCAACGCCUUGACCUGCUGUCCUACCAACCCAACCCCAACCCCACUGUUCCAAAAAACCCCCAAAAGACCCAAAAUACCCCUAAAUGACCCCAAAAUACCCCCAACAACUCAAUGUCCCCAAAACUUCCCUCAAGAUGUCCCCAACCCAAACC
This 1468-nucleotide long non-coding RNA is filed under the name Phasianus colchicus (ring-necked pheasant). RNAcentral describes it as "lncRNA (ENSPCLG00000018879.1)". The record is from RNAcentral. Lineage: Eukaryota; Metazoa; Chordata; Aves; Galliformes; Phasianidae.